RNAcentral lists this ribosomal RNA (401 nucleotides) under uncultured fungus. RNAcentral describes it as "SSU rRNA". It matches the Rfam family "Eukaryotic small subunit ribosomal RNA", at positions 555 to 961 of the family's 1831-position model. Lineage: Eukaryota; Fungi. The record is from RNAcentral.
GCAAGUCUGGUGCCAGCAGCCGCGGUAAUUCCAGCUCCAAUAGCGUAUAUUAAAGUUGUUGCAGUUAAAAAGCUCGUAGUUGAACCUUGGGUCUGGCUGGCCGGUCCGCCUCACCGCGUGUACUGGUCCGGCCAGACCUUUCCUUCUGGGGAAUCGCAUGCCCUUCACUGGGUGUGUCGAGGAUCCAGGACUUUUACUUUGAAAAAAUUAGAGUGUUCAAAGCAGGCCUAUGCUCGAAUACAUUAGCAUGGAAUAAUAGAAUAGGAUGUGUGGUUCUAUUUUGUUGGUUUCUAGGACCGCCGUAAUGAUUAAUAGGGAUAGUCGGGGGCAUCAGUAUUCAAUCGCCAGAGGUGAAAUUCUUGGAUCGAUUGAAGACUAACUACUGCGAAAGCAUUUGCCAA